This 257-nucleotide ribosomal RNA is filed under the name uncultured bacterium. Its description in RNAcentral is "partial 16S ribosomal RNA". It matches the Rfam family "Bacterial small subunit ribosomal RNA", at positions 524 to 776 of the family's 1533-position model. The record is from RNAcentral.
UACAGAGACCUCAAGCGUUAUCCGGAAUCAUUGGGCGUAAAGCGUUCCGAUAGGUUGUUUUGAAAGUCUUGGGUAAAAGCCAGAAGCUUAACUUCUGCGUUUGCUUAAGAUACUGCAAAACUAGAGGGGCAAAGAGGAGCUUAGAACGAAUGGUGUAGUAGUGAAAUGCGUUGAUAUCAUUCGGAACACCGAAAGCGAAGGCAGAGCUCUGGGUGCCACCUGACACUGCUAGGACGAAAGCGUGGGGAGCGAAUGGG